This 469-nucleotide ribosomal RNA is filed under the name uncultured bacterium. RNAcentral describes it as "bacterial SSU rRNA". It matches the Rfam family "Bacterial small subunit ribosomal RNA", at positions 330 to 795 of the family's 1533-position model. The record is from RNAcentral.
GCCAGACUCCUACGGGAGGCAGCAGUGAGGAAUAUUGGUCAAUGGGCGGAAGCCUGAACCAGCCAAGUCGCGUGAGGGAAGAAGGCCCUGCGGGUCGCAGACCUCUUUGGACGGGGAGCAAGGCCGCCGACGUGUCGGCGGAAGGAGAGUACCCGUAGAACAAGCAUCGGCUAACUCCGUGCCAGCAGCCGCGGUAAUACGGAGGAUGCGAGCGUUAUCCGGAUUUACUGGGUGUAAAGGGAGCGUAGACGGCAAUGCAAGCCAGAUGUGAAAACCCGCAGCUCAACUGGGGGAGUGCAUUUGGAACUGUGUAGCUGGAGUGCAGGAGAGGUAAGCGGAAUUCCUGGUGUAGCGGUGAAAUGCGUAGAUAUCAGGAGGAACACCAGUGGCGAAGGCGGCUUACUGGACUGUAACUGACGUUGAGGCUCGAAAGCGUGGGGAGCAAACAGGAUUAGAUACCCCGGUAACU